RNAcentral lists this antisense RNA (69 nucleotides) under Kibdelosporangium aridum. Its description in RNAcentral is "ASpks TB sRNA". It matches the Rfam family "ASpks TB sRNA". Lineage: Bacteria; Bacillati; Actinomycetota; Actinomycetes; Pseudonocardiales; Pseudonocardiaceae. The record is from Rfam by way of RNAcentral.
CUUCACCGAACCCAGCCACAACGGCCGGUCUCGGUCCUGGCCAUAAGUGGCCAACAAUGCCUGGGCCUC